This 1115-nucleotide ribosomal RNA is filed under the name uncultured Polynucleobacter sp. RNAcentral's name for it is "bacterial SSU rRNA". It matches the Rfam family "Bacterial small subunit ribosomal RNA", at positions 383 to 1497 of the family's 1533-position model. The record is from RNAcentral. Lineage: Bacteria; Pseudomonadati; Pseudomonadota; Betaproteobacteria; Burkholderiales; Burkholderiaceae.
CUGAUCCAGCAAUGCCGCGUGAGUGAAGAAGGCCUUCGGGUUGUAAAGCUCUUUUGUCAGGGAAGAAACAGCAGCUCUAACACAGUCUGCGAAUGACGGUACCUGAAGAAUAAGCACCGGCUAACUACGUGCCAGCAGCCGCGGUAAUACGUAGGGUGCAAGCGUUAAUCGGAAUUACUGGGCGUAAAGCGUGCGCAGGCGGUUAUGUAAGACAGGCGUGAAAUCCCCGGGCUUAACCUGGGAAUUGCGCUUGUGACUGCAUAGCUAGAGUAUGUCAGAGGGGGGUAGAAUUCCACGUGUAGCAGCGAAAUGCGUAGAGAUGUGGAGGAAUACCAAUGGCGAAGGCAGCCCCCUGGGAUAAUACUGACGCUCAUGCACGAAAGCGUGGGGAGCAAACAGGAUUAGAUACCCUGGUAGUCCACGCCCUAAACGAUGCUGACUAGUUGUUCGGGAAUUUAUUCCUGAGUAACGUAGCUAACGCGUGAAGUCAGCCGCCUGGGGAGUACGGUCGCAAGAUUAAAACUCAAAGGAAUUGACGGGGACCCGCACAAGCGGUGGAUGAUGUGGAUUAAUUCGAUGCAACGCGAAAAACCUUACCUACCCUUGACAUGCCACUAACGAAGUAGAGAUACAUUAGGUGCCCGUAAGGGAAAGUGGACACAGGUGCUGCAUGGCUGUCGUCAGCUCGUGUCGUGAGAUGUUGGGUUAAGUCCCGCAACGAGCGCAACCCUUGUCUUUAGUUGCUACGCAAGAGCACUCUAAAGAGACUGCCGGUGACAAACCGGAGGAAGGUGGGAUGACGUCAAGUCCUCAUGGCCCUUAUGGGUAGGGCUUCACACGUCAUACAAUGGUGCAUACAGAGGGUUGCCAACCCGCGAGGGGGAGCUAAUCUCAGAAAAUGCAUCGUAGUCCGGAUCGUAGUCUGCAACUCGACUACGUGAAGCUGGAAUCGCUAGUAAUCGCGGAUCAGAAUGUCGCGGUGAAUACGUUCCCGGGUCUUGUACACACCGCCCGUCACACCAUGGGAGUGGGUUUUGCCAGAAGCCGUUAGCCUAACCGCAAGGAGGGCGACGACCACGGCAGGGUUCAUGACUGGGGUGAAGUCGUAACAAGGU